Molecule: ribosomal RNA, 372 nt
Filed under: Rhodobacterales bacterium CG_4_9_14_3_um_filter_71_31
Lineage: Bacteria; Pseudomonadati; Pseudomonadota; Alphaproteobacteria; Rhodobacterales
Description: bacterial LSU rRNA
Rfam family: Bacterial large subunit ribosomal RNA
Source: RNAcentral
CUGGGGCUGGAGCAGGUCCCAAGGGUUCGGCUGUUCGCCGAUUAAAGUGGUACGUGAGCUGGGUUUAGAACGUCGUGAGACAGUUCGGUCCCUAUCUGCCGUGGGUGUAGGAGACUUGAGAGGAGCUGCCCCUAGUACGAGAGGACCGGGGUGGACGCACCACUGGUGGACCAGUUGUCGCGCCAGCGGCACAGCUGGGUAGCUAUGUGCGGAAGGGAUAACCGCUGAAGGCAUCUAAGCGGGAAGCCCCCCUCAAAACCAGGUCUCCCUGAGGGCCGUGGAAGACCACCACGUCGAUAGGCCGGAAAUGUAAGUGUGGCGACACACUCAGUUGACCGGUACUAAUCGCCCGAUAGGCUUGAUCCGAUCCAG